CUCUAUCCAUUGUUCAUAUAUAAUCAUAUAUGCUCACAUUUCUUGCUUCUAAAGCAUAACUUAUGUACCUGAAAUUAUAGUUUAUUCAGGCUAAGUAUUCAUCCUGAAAAUAUAAGCUAUUUUGCAUCUUUCUAUGAUAUAAUCAUGAAGUCCUUUGUGUCAUUACAAUUACAAUGAAUUUUCUACCUGAGUUAGAAACCUUACAUGCAUGAUGCAACCUAUUACUGUUCAGAAAACUGGUCAAACAAGAACAAGUCAUUUUGAAGAAAUUCAUACAUAAAUAGAGAGGUUGGUUGAUAGAGACAACCCAUUUCCCAUAUACCAAAAAAGGUGCUAAUAUGUAAUUUCACCUUUGUCUAUCGCAUGAUCAGUACAGUUCAUAAUCAUCAUGAAUGUUGUUACCUACUCACGCCAGCUUCUAUCAAUUAACAACACUCACUCUCCAUUGUCUCAUAUACCUUCUUAUGACAAAUCACAGUGCUGCACCAAGUACUAAAUUAUUCUUUUCUAAUUAAUUAAUUAGUUAAUGUAUAUGUAAGUUACUAGUGAUAUGCACGCUGCACGCAUAAUCAUAAUCAUAAUCAAACCCCUUCUCUUUUUGUGUUCAGGAAAUGGAAGAGGGUGAUUUUUCAUUUUCUUAUUCAUCAUUUUUAAAUUGUUUUCAGAGAAUAUUUAUGAUGACUGAAAGAAGAUGAAAAUAUAA
Molecule: non-coding RNA, 703 nt
Organism: Arachis ipaensis
Lineage: Eukaryota; Viridiplantae; Streptophyta; Magnoliopsida; Fabales; Fabaceae
Source: RefSeq, a predicted model, not a curated record